RNAcentral lists this ribosomal RNA (2721 nucleotides) under Balamuthia mandrillaris. RNAcentral describes it as "bacterial LSU rRNA". It matches the Rfam family "Bacterial large subunit ribosomal RNA". Lineage: Eukaryota; Discosea; Longamoebia; Balamuthiidae. The record is from RNAcentral.
AAAGUGUAGUGUAACCAAUGGAUUUGAGCGGUUAUGUAUUUAAAGACGUAUAGGUAUGACGAAACUAUUUACAUUGAGAAAUAUUUCAUGCUUUGAAAUGUAAGUUUCUUAUAAGGGAGACCUAAAACUAAAAAUGUUGUGUAACCUGGCAAACUGAAACAUCUUAUUAGCCAGAGGCAAAAUAAAUCAAAUAGAGAUUCUGUAAUUAACGGUGAGUAAACGCAGAUAAGACCUUUGAGCUUUUAAUUAUGAACAAACUGAGUAUAUUUCAGACCGUAGGUUGGUUCAAGUCCCGUUUUUUUGUAAUAAACUAUAAGCUUAAUGAGUAAAAUGAUGCAGGAUUUGUUCAUUUGAAAGAGGGAGUCCAUCUUCCAAGUCUGAAAUAUGAAUACGUAGACCGAUAGUGGACAAAGUACCGUGAGGGAAAAAUGAAAAGAAACAAAAGUGAAAUAGAAUUUGAAAUUGGUUACUUUAGAAGCAAUUAUUCGUUUAAAGAAUAAUGUACCUUUUGCAUAAUGGGUCAACAAAUUGAAUAAAAAAGCAAUUUGUAUAAAAGUAAUGAAAGUAAUUCCCUAACGGGGAAUGCAGUUGUUUUAUUCAAACUCGAAACCGAGUGAUCUAGUUAUGAACAAAUUGAAGAUAUUUUAAAAACGUAUCGGAGGAUUGCACCCGUGUAUGUAGCAAUAUACUGGGAAGAUUUGUAGCUAGGGGUGAAAGGCUAAUCAAACUCGGAUAUAGCUAGUUUUCUACGAAAUCUAUUGAGGUAGUUUGGUAAUAAAAAAUUGAAGUGGGUAUAGCACUUACCAAUUGAGGGGGGUUAAUAGCCUUACCAAUGUUGGUUAAACUAAAAAUAAUUUCAAAUUGUUAGUUACCAAGCAGAAUAUAGGCGCAAAGGUCUAUUUUUUCAAAAGGGAAACAGCCCAGACCUCCGGCUAAAGUCCAUAAAAAAAUUUGAGUGUAAAAAAAGAAUUUUGGAUGAUUAGAAUUGGCAAGUUGGCUUAGAAGCAGCCAUCCUUUAAAGAAAGCGUAACAGCUCGUCAAUCCUAGAAUUUAAAUAAUUCUGAAAAUGUAACAGGACUAAGAUUUUUACUUAAGCUAAGGUUGCUUUGAUUAUAAAAUUAAGUAAAGGCAAGGUAGUAGAACGACCAUUAAAGAUAUAUAUAUGUUUUCGAUAGAAAAAGUAUAUGGUGUGAUAAUGUUGACACGAGUAACGUUUAGGUUGGUGAAGAACAACCUCAUCAAAUAUGUAAGGAUUCCGAUGUAAAGUAACUUUCAUCGGGUUAGUCGGUCCCUAAUAGUUCUCUAUUUAUAAAAUAAGACUAGAUGGGUUAUUGGUCAGGCAACUACGGGUUUGCAUUAGUGUUAAUAACAUUAAGCGCCCGUGUUAAUAAUAAAAUGCUUGACCUUUUGAGAAAAGUGACUUUUUAUUUAUUCAUGUUUAUUAAAAUAAUUGCUUACGUGACUAAAUAAAUACUAGAAAAAGCUGUUUCAUAAAAAAACCGUACUUAAAGCCGACACAGGUAUUUUGAUAGAGUAUAUUAAGAUGAUUAAAAGAACAGCACUGAAGGAACUCGGCAAAUUGACUCCGUAACUUCGGGAAAAGGAGUGCUUGCAUAGAGUAAUCUAUGUGUGCGUAACAGAAUAGGGGGUAGCGACUGUUUAAUAAAAACACAGGACUCUGCUAAAUUGAAAAAUGAUGUAUAGAGUCUGACAUCUGCCCGGUACCAUUAGAUAAACAAACGAGUUAUUGCUUGUGAGUAAAGGAUUGGUGAACGGCGGCUGUAACCAUAACGGUCCUAAGGUAGCGAAAUUCCCUGUCGGGUAAGUUCCGACCUGCAUGAAUGAUGUAACGACUUCCCCACUGUCUCCAGUGUUGCUUUAGUGAAACUGAAUUUGUUGUGAAGAUGCAAUAUUAAUAGUAAGUAGACGGAAAGACCCUGUACACCUUUACUAUAACACGGGAUUGUACGUUUGUUGUGUUUAUGUAGAAUAACUCUUAAGCUUAUAACUCACGUUACGCAAGUAACUUUGAUGAGGCGUCGAUGAAAUAAGAGUUUUGCGGAACAAAUCUCUGUAUAGUCACAUUAAAAAUCCAGUGUGGUUAGUUUAACUGGGGUGGUUGUCUUCUAAAAUGUAACGAAGAUGUAUAAAGGUAUAUUUUGAAUUUAAUGGUAAAAUUAUGCUUAACUGUAAGAAUUACACUUCGAACAGAGACGAAAGUCGAUCAUAAUGAUCCAAUAGUGCUGUGUGGAAAGGCUAUUGCUCAACGGAUAAAAGGUACGUCAGGGAUAACAGGCUAAUAAAUCUUUAGAGUCCAUAUUUCCAGGUUUGUUUGGCACUUCGAUGUCGACUCAUCACAUCCUGGAGCUGCAGGAGGUUCCAAGGGUUGGGCUGUUCGCCCAUUAAAGUGGUACGUGAGUUGGGUUUAGAACGUUGUGAAACAGUUCGGUUCCUAUCUUUUACUUAUUUUAGAAUAAUAAAAUUAUAUCCCUCGUACGAGAGGAUUGGGGUGUGUAUGUCACUGGUACUUCAGUUAUUUUACUAAAUGGUAAGCUGAAAAGCUAAACAUAAAUUUAGAAUCGCUGAAAGCAUAUAAGCGAGAAAAUGUUUUUUAUUUAUUCUAUUUUUCUACUGAUAGAUUAUCAGUCCCUUAUAAGAUUUAGAGCUAGCAAUGGAUGGUCUUUAGAAUUGGGAAAAAUUUGAUUUUUGUAUUUUUUGUCU